GUGCCCGUCCACCGAACGGUCGGCAGGCGAUCCGCGUCGGUCGUGCUGGGUGGUAUGGUUCCCCAGAGGCCGGUUCUUGUGCUGCCUACCCCUUCAGGGGAAGAGUUCCAAACUCGAUGUAAGCCCUCCAUCCGGCGCCCUCCAGAGGGCGCGGGAGGACAACGGAGCACCCCCCGCGUUCCACCGAGCCUCCUCGGUCGUGUGGCCCGCGGGGACGUGCGAUGCUCUCGGACCCAGUGAACGCCGUGGGCGAGGACUCGCGUCCCGGUCCCAAGUGAAGCAACGGUACAACGGAUGACGGCCGCUCCCGCCCCCCCGACCGCCCCGGCGGCGCGGGGGCGAAGGCGCGGCGUCGCUGAGGAAUGCU
RNAcentral lists this unclassified non-coding RNA (367 nucleotides) under Acacia brunioides. Its description in RNAcentral is "partial external transcribed spacer". Lineage: Eukaryota; Viridiplantae; Streptophyta; Magnoliopsida; Fabales; Fabaceae. The record is from RNAcentral.